This 73-nucleotide transfer RNA is filed under the name Fukomys damarensis (Damara mole-rat). It matches the Rfam family "tRNA". From Rfam's summary of the family: Transfer RNA (tRNA) molecules are approximately 80 nucleotides in length. The record is from Rfam by way of RNAcentral. Lineage: Eukaryota; Metazoa; Chordata; Mammalia; Rodentia; Bathyergidae.
GGGGGUUUAGCUCAGUGGUUUCUGAGCUGGCCUCGCAAGCUCAAGGUCCCGAGUUCAAUCCCCGGUACCCCCC